GCCAUUUCUUUUUGCUGGUCAUGUGUUGACAGGGCUCUCAUUGGAUCUCUGCUGGUGUUAUCUGAGAGGAAAGCACCACCCGAGUCACCUUCUCCUGCUGAGUGGAGGACAAGGAGAUGCCAGACCUGUCAACUCUAGCCCUGGAUGGAAGCUAUGUAUCCUAUCCACCAGAGGGCACUACAUAGAAAACAGCUCAAUGUUCUUUUUAAGUUGUCUCCUAACAAAACCAUUGAGGCAGUGCUGAGAAAAAGCGACCGUUACAGAAGCUUUGUGGGAUACACAUUUCCCUGAGCUCUUAAUCACUUUUUUAUUUGGUAACACAAGCCCAGUCAUGUGACACCAUUGAAUACAACAACAAGGGAGAGAAUGGAACCCACGCAGCAAAGCAAGAAACUAAGAGACUACAGACAUUUCUGGGCAGGUCGUGCACUCAGGACCUGGCUUAUUGUCUUUUCCUUCCUGACUAUGAUUAUUUUUUCCCCUUGAUUAAAUGCGUA
Molecule: long non-coding RNA, 497 nt
Organism: Tupaia belangeri chinensis (Chinese tree shrew)
Lineage: Eukaryota; Metazoa; Chordata; Mammalia; Scandentia; Tupaiidae
Exons: 3
Source: RefSeq, a predicted model, not a curated record